Molecule: transfer RNA, 59 nt
Filed under: Mesocricetus auratus (golden hamster)
Lineage: Eukaryota; Metazoa; Chordata; Mammalia; Rodentia; Cricetidae
Rfam family: tRNA
About the family: Transfer RNA (tRNA) molecules are approximately 80 nucleotides in length. Their secondary structure includes four short double-helical elements and three loops (D, anti-codon, and T loops). Further hydrogen bonds mediate the characteristic L-shaped molecular structure. tRNAs have two regions of fundamental functional importance: the anti-codon, which is responsible for specific mRNA codon recognition, and the 3' end, to which the tRNAs corresponding amino acid is attached (by aminoacyl-tRNA synthetases). tRNAs cope with the degeneracy of the genetic code in two manners: having more than one tRNA (with a specific anti-codon) for a particular amino acid; and 'wobble' base-pairing, i.e. permitting non-standard base-pairing at the 3rd anti-codon position.
Source: Rfam by way of RNAcentral
UGGUUCAAUGGUUGAGAAUACUGGGCUGCUCUUCCAGAGGAUCUGGGUUCAGUUCCCAG